CAAAUGUCUUAAGUUGUCAUCAAACUCGUUGAAGAAAAAUAGAAUUAAACGUUAUUCAAGAAAACUAAUAAAUCUUUACCCACAAGUUAUGUUAAAUAAGAAAAUAAAAUUAUCAUCCGACUUACUGCGAAAAAGAAAGGAUUGGAGUUCAAUGUGGUAUCUGGAUUAAGGAGUCUCUUGUGUUUGGGGCACUAACUAAUUUUCUGGAUUGUCUACAGGAUUCUUCUUACAGGAAAUUGAACUGCUUGUUCUUCGGAAAUAGGGUCUUGGAUGAUCUCGAAAUAGGUUGUAGGAUGAUUCUGUUUUUAUUUUAAUAUCACAUACAUUGGAGUACACGCCAAAUUUCAACAAUGAGUAAAGUUGGAAAAAUUCAAAUUUAAAUCAAGGAUUUCUUCCUCAAAAUAACGUUAAAACCUCAAACUAUGGAUGAUAAAUGUGCUUUAGGAGCUGAACUACAAUAAUUGAUACAUUUGGAAGUAAACAAAACGGUUUAAGAUAAGAUUUUCACCAACAAAAAUCUCUCUGUCAUAAAUUCUAGGUUAUGUUCUCUCUGUGA
This 556-nucleotide long non-coding RNA is filed under the name Onthophagus taurus. Its description in RNAcentral is "uncharacterized LOC111422376". The record is from RNAcentral. Lineage: Eukaryota; Metazoa; Arthropoda; Insecta; Coleoptera; Scarabaeidae.